Molecule: ribosomal RNA, 106 nt
Filed under: uncultured bacterium
Lineage: Bacteria
Description: partial 16S ribosomal RNA
Rfam family: Bacterial small subunit ribosomal RNA
Source: RNAcentral
CGACGUCGCGUGGAGGAUGAAAUCUUUCGGGAUGUAUACUCCUUUUUAACGGGGAAGGAAAAAAAAUAGACGGUACCCGUUGAAUAAGCCCCGGCUAACUACGUGC